CGAGGCUCAAGAAACGUCAUGAGUCAAUCUGUCCAACUAGACGCCCAUUCCAUCGACACGCCCCGAUCUGCAGUUGCCGAACCCUUAUCCCUGGACACGUUAUCCUCUUCGCUUUCGGAAGAAACAUCUGAUAUGAGUUCAUCCAACGCUUUGGCGGCGUCUGCAGCAGCAGCAGCUAGCAGUGAAAAAACGACCUCCAACCGUGUCGUCGUCCCGAGAACUACCUCCACUCUUACUUCUAGUACAGCUACAACAGCAGCAGCAGGUGGUUCAAACGUGCAUCUUCCAUCAGCAGGCCACCAACAACACCGGACGGCCGUCAACCGCAGCAACACUUCCGGCGGUGAAGGAGGUCUGGUCAUGGUGGCUACUUCGCUGGCUACUUCUUCAUCUACUGCUUCGUCCAGCCGAGCUAACAGCGCCGAACCCUUCAGCAAUGGCGGUGGAGGAGGAGGAGGAGGAAGCGGGAGUAGCAGUGGUGGUGCGGCGCGGUCAGCCGGAGGAGGAAGCCGGGCAACUCGGACGAAUACGACAGCUCAAACUUCUCAAGGGGCCAUCUAUCGAGCACCGAUGGCUGGUGGCGGAGGAAGUGGUAGUGGCGGAGUAGGAGGCAGUGGAGGAUCUUCUCGGAUUGCAUCCCACGUUUCACCGCAUCAUCUGGCCUCCUAUCAAGCGUCAACCACUGGCUCCUCCCCUUACGGAGCUGGCGUAGGAGGUUCGAAUAACAGCAGCAACAGUAGCAGUAGCACGGGAACUGGAAGUCAAGGCUACAGCAGCUCGACGAGCGGAGUCGGUGUAGGAGGAAGCGGAAAUGGGGGAGGCGGUGCCAAUUCUAACCCGGCGACGGCGACUACGACGACCACGACGACCGGCGGCAGUACCAACAACAGCGAUCAGCUGUCCAGGACCAACCUCUACAUUCGCGGACUGACGCCCAACACCACCGACAAGGAUCUAGAGGAAUUGUGCCGCAAAUUCGGUACCAUCAUUUCGACCAAAGCCAUUCUCGAUAAGAAUACCAACAAGUGCAAAGGCUACGGUUUCGUUGAUUUCGAUUCGCCAUCGGCAGCCGAAUCGGCCGUCAAAGCCCUGCAGCUUCAAGGCAUUCAAGCGCAGAUGGCGAAGGUAAUCGUCAAACAACAAGAACAAGAUCCCACUAAUUUGUACCUGGCCAACUUGCCGCCGCACAUCACCGAACAGGACCUUCACGAUAUGCUUUACAAAUAUGGGACGGUCAUCUCGACCCGAGUGCUGCGCGACGGUGGCAGCCAGAGCCGCGGUGUGGGUUUUGCGCGGAUGGAAUCCAGAGAGAAAUGCGAUGAAAUUAUUAGCAUAUUCAACGGCAAAUCGCUGGCGGGGUCGACCCAGCCGUUGCUGGUGAAAUUCGCCGAUGGCGGCAACAAGAACAAGCGCCAGCACAAGACUCACGAUCAGCGCUGGCGUGACGCGGCCGAUGGGCCGGGCGGCCUCCUCUCGGCUUACGAUAGCCCCGUCCAUCCCAAUGGAAUGCCAACCCUGCUCUCUCACAUGCCGCUCGGACGUAAUUUCCCACACCAAAUGUCGCCUUUCCCCAUCGGGCCCAAUGGCGCCCCAUGGCUAGGACAAUACAUUGUCCAGCCGCCUAUGCAUCAACAGAUGGAAAUGUUGACGUCCGGUAUGGAUCCUUCGAUGCAGUACAUCCCGCAAUUGACGACUCACCUGUCGUCGUUGCACGUUAGUAGCCCUGGCAAUCCUUAUGCGAUGGGCCCUGGCGGUCAUGGCGGUCAUGGUCAUCAUCACCAUCACCAUCAUCAUCAUAGCGCUUAUCAAGCAGCGGCACUUUACCAGGCCAGCCAAUCGCAGGCGGCCGUCAUGGGUCCCAACUCACUCUCUAUGGCUCCCGAAUCUGAUCCCUCUGCUAGCGCCACCGCCUCUCCCGACGAGCCCUUCUCCUACGGAGCCAUGUGAGGGGAAAAAAAAAAAAAAAUGGAUUUUUAUUUUUGGACAGAAAAAAAAAAAAAAAUACCAAAGGGAAUUAACAAGAAAUUUGUAGAUGUCUGGCAGCAGCGGCGCUCUCUCUCUCUCUCUUUCUUUGACAGUGUGUGAGCAGCAAAAAAAGAAGCAGCGUCGAUUUAUAACACGACAUUCCACACAGACACACACAGACACACACACAAAAAUGUGCUUUCCCCUUCUUGAUGCGUUGCGUAAUCGUCCUUGACACCUCUCCGUUUCGUGUAAAUAAGGCUAACGAUGCAAACCUUUUUUUUUUUUUUUUUUUCGUUCACGGGGAAAACAAUUUUUCCAUCUUCGUCGUUUGUUUUGUUUUUGGAACCGGUAGAAUUUUUCUAAUCAUCAUCGCUAACCUUCUAUUUCGUAGAGGUACCUGUUUCUUUUUUCCUCCGCUCGUUCUCCUCCUUUCUCUAUUAAAAAAAACAAAAGCAAAAACAAAAAUGGCUAAGGAAAUAAUUCCUGAAUAAGAAAAUAAAAAUAUAUCGGGAAAUGGGGGGAAAAAAAACAACAGCAAACAAUUCGUCGUGCAGAAGACAAAAAUUUCAUUGACAUGUUCAGAGUCAGAAUAUUAGACAACAAAUGGGAAAAUAACAAAAAACAAGAGAGAAAAGCGUCUGCCAGCCAAUGAUGUGCCUUUUUCAAUCCCACCCCCAUACCUUCCUCACACACACACACACAAUCCCGAUGAUCAAAUCGCAAAAAGGGGGAGAAUUUUUUUUUUUUUUUUUUUAUUUUUAACAAUCCGGUUUUCUUUUUCUCUAAUUAAUAGUUUACGAAAAUCAUUUUCCACUUUUUGUCCUUAAAAUUCGUUUAAAAUGUUUGUGCUUGUUUGUUUGUUUGUUUUUUUGCCCCCAACUUGAUAAUUGAUUGUUCAAUUCCUGUUGAACCCGUCGAUUUUGUUUGUAGAUUUUUGGCGUACUGCUGGAACCAAAAAAAGGGGGGGAGGGGUCAAAAUGAGAAUAAGAUUUUUUUUUUCACGAAACCCUUAAAACAAAAAAAAAUCAAACAAAAAAAUGACAAUGAUUUUGAAUUUCUAAUUAUGUUGUUGUGGGAAGUUAAUCCUCCAGUUGCUAAAAAAAAAAAAUGUGGGGGACAUAAAACAGCAAAAUUACCAAAAAUAUUAAAAAGGAAAAAAAAGAAAAAAAAAAACUGAAAAAGUGUUGAUAAAUUGAAAGAUUUUUCUUUUUUUUAUGAUGGGAAAAUUUCCAUUUUGAAUCCCCCCCGUUCUUUGCCUCCGUUUGUUCAAUUUCCACAGCAGAAAUGGAAACAAAACUCUGUUCUCGCUCGCGUUCUUAGUUUUUGUUUUUUGUUUUUCUCGCCUCAAAUUUUAAUUCGAUUUUUUUUUUCGGGGGUAAUUCCGUUAAAAUUGAAGGGGGGAGGGAACUUGUUUUUUUUUGUUUUUGUGUCCAUGAUUUAAGAAGGAAAAAAAAAAAGGCGAAUGUGUCGACGUACAGUUUAAUUUUCAAUGUUUUUAUGCGGUGAUUUGAAAGGGAUUGCCAUUCGUCGUUCGACGAUGAAUAAAUAAGGAUCGAAGGAAUCGGAGCAAAAAGUACAAAAGAAAAAAAGAAGAUUAGAGAGGGUAAACAUACACACACCAACGUAACACUCCCAACCCCCUCCCCCAAUUUUUAACCCGACAAAGGUGGCGUCAUCAUUUCAUUCAAAAAGGAAAUUUUUUUUUCUCUCCAAACUACCCCGCUCCUUUUCUUUUUUUUUUUUUCGUGGGUUCAACACACACUGCCGUUAUUCAUUUGUUUCUAUUGCGUUAUUUUCAUUUUCCUGAAAUAGCCAUUAUUUCCAAACGAUCUUUUUUUUUAAAAAAAAAAAAAAACUAUUUAAAGAUGAUGGUUAUAUAAUGAAAACAAUUUUUUUUUUCCUUCUCACUUCCUCCUACGUCACUUCCGCCACCUCUACACACACCUGUCCUGUUCUAUUUUGAAAAAAAAAAAAAAACACGAAACAACAACAGAAAAAUGUGUUUCAUGCAAAUGGGGAAAAUCAGUAAUUUUUUUUUUGUUCUUUUUAAAUUUUCAUCUGGUAAAGUGCGUGAGCGCUGUAUGCAAUUUUAAAUUGUGUCGCCUCCAAAUGUUUACUUCGUUUCAUUUCCCUUUUGUUUUUUUCUUCUAAAUUAAGUUUGUCGUUAUGAAAGAAUGUUUGCACCACCUCGCUCCCUCCCUUCUGUUUGCUUUCUUGAUUGUUGUUGCUAAUUGUUAAAUUCGUUCAUUCAUUUUUCUUUUCUUUUUUUUUUUUUUACCUGGCAAGAAAAUAGCGAUCAAAUUUCGCGCGGUUUUGUUAUUUGUUUUGAAAAAAGGAGAAGGAAAAAAAAAAAAAAUGGGGAAUUUAAAAAAAAAAAUCGUGAAAUUGUUUGUUAAAUUGUUUUUUUUUUUUUUUUAAUUUUGUUUCGUGAUUGGUCUCCGUGAUGAGAUCCUUCGGAAUGAAAGAGAAAAAGAUAAUUUUUGGUGGGUUUUAAAAAAAAAUGUUCUCGCCUUUACGCGGGGCGAGAGGAAAGAUGAGGAAAAACAGUUUUGAUUUUGAUUUCACACGUGUUGUUGUUAUUGUUGUUUUAUUGUCCUCGAGAAACACCACGCUGCUGCCCCUGGGCAAGAAAUUCAGAGUUUAAAAAAAAAAAAAUAGAAAUUAACAAAGUGCGAUCAGAAAAAAAAAAAAGUUAAUCUUGUGCGUGUAUGCGUGUGCUCCCCCCCUCCCACCACACCCUCCCGAUAAACGAACGCGUUUGUUAAAAAAAAAAAAAACAAUUGUUGAAUUUUUGUCUUUCCCACUCUCUUUGUUCACCUUCAUUUCAUGUGUUUUUUUUUUUUGUCGAUUGGGAUAUGGAUAAUUGAGAUGGUUCGAAAAUUA
This 4851-nucleotide unclassified non-coding RNA is filed under the name Daphnia magna. RNAcentral's name for it is "rNA-binding motif, single-stranded-interacting protein 2, transcript variant X5". Lineage: Eukaryota; Metazoa; Arthropoda; Branchiopoda; Diplostraca; Daphniidae. The record is from RNAcentral.